AGCAGCCGCGGUAAUUCCAGCUCCAAUAGCGUAUAUUAAAGUUGUUGCAGUUAAAAAGCUCGUAGUUGAAUUUCGGGAUCAAUUAAUUGGUCGUGCCUCUGGUACGCACUGGUUUUAUUGGUUUCUCCCUUCUGACGAACCACGAUGUCAUUAAUUUGGUGUCGUGGAGAAUCAGGACUGUUACUUUGAAAAAUUAGAGUGUUUAAAGCAGGCUAACGCUUGAAUACAUUAGCAUGGAAUAAUGAAAUAGGACGUUUGAUCCUAUUUUGUUGGUUUCUAGGAUCGACGUAAUGAUUAAUAGGGAUAGUUGGGGGCAUUAGUAUUCAAUUGUCAGAGGUGAAAUUCUUGGAUUUAUUGAAGACUAACUACUGCGAAAGCAUUUGCCAAGGANGUUUUCAUUAAUCAAGAACGAAAGUUAGGGGAUCGAAGACGAUCAGAUACCGUCGUAGUCUUAACCAUAAACUAUGACCGACUAGGGAUCGGAUGAUGUUAAUUUUUAAUGUACUCA
This 508-nucleotide ribosomal RNA is filed under the name uncultured Glomus. RNAcentral describes it as "SSU rRNA". It matches the Rfam family "Eukaryotic small subunit ribosomal RNA", at positions 569 to 1078 of the family's 1831-position model. The record is from RNAcentral. Lineage: Eukaryota; Fungi; Glomeromycota; Glomeromycetes; Glomerales; Glomeraceae.